UACAGAGGUCUCAAGCGUUGUUCGGAAUCACUGGGCGUAAAGCGUGCGUAGGCUGUUUCGUAAGUCGUGUGUGAAAGGCGCGGGCUCAACCCGCGGACGGCACAUGAUACUGCGAGACUAGAGUAAUGGAGGGGGAACCGGAAUUCUCGGUGUAGCAGUGAAAUGCGUAGAUAUCAGGAGGAACAUCGGUGGCGAAAGCGCUUUACUGGACCAUUAUUGACGCUGAGGAACGAAAGCCAGGGGAGCAAAUGGG
RNAcentral lists this ribosomal RNA (253 nucleotides) under uncultured Akkermansia sp. RNAcentral's name for it is "partial 16S ribosomal RNA". It matches the Rfam family "Bacterial small subunit ribosomal RNA", at positions 524 to 776 of the family's 1533-position model. Lineage: Bacteria; Pseudomonadati; Verrucomicrobiota; Verrucomicrobiia; Verrucomicrobiales; Akkermansiaceae. The record is from RNAcentral.